CUAAGCCAUGCGAGUCGAGAGGGUUCGGCCCUCGGCGCACCGCUCAGUAACACGUGGAUAACCUACCCUGGAGUGGGGGAUAAUCUCGGAAACCUGAGGAUAAUACCCCAUAGGCCUUUGGUACUGGAAUGUUCUUAGGCCCAAAGUUACGGCGCCCCAGGAUGGGUCUGCGGCCUAUCAGGUAGUAGUGAGUGUAAAGGACUCACUAGCCGACAACGGGUACGGGCCAUGGGAGUGGUAGCCCGGAGAUGGAUUCUGAGACACGAAUCCAGGCCCUACGGGGCGCAGCAGGCGGGAAAACUUCGCAAUGCGCGAAAGCGCGUCGAGGGGAUUCCAAGUGCAUGCACUUAGUGCAUGCUGUUUGCUAGUCCAAAUAGCUAGUAGAGUAAGGGCUGGGUAAGACUGGUGCCAGCCGCCGCGGUAAUACCAGCGGCCCGAGUGGUGAUCGUUAUUAUUGGGUCUAAAGCGUCCGUAGCCGGCCCGGUAAAUCUCUGGGUAAAUCGUUGGGCUCAACCCAGCGAAUUCUAGGGAGACUGCCGGGCUUGGGACCGGGAGAGGUCGGAGGUACUCCGAGGGUAGGGGUGAAAUCCUGUAAUCCUUGGGGGACCACCGGUGGCGAGGGCGUCCGACCAGAACGGGUCCGACGGUAAGGGACGAAGCCCUGGGGCGCGAACCGGAUUAGAUACCCGGGUAGUCCAGGGUGUAAACGCUGUGCGCUUGGUGUUGGGGGUCCUUUGAGGGCAUCCAGUGCCGGAGAGAAGUUGUUAAGCGCACCACCUGGGGAGUACGGUCGCAAGACUGAAACUUAAAGGAAUUGGCGGGGGAGCACCGCAACGGGAGGAGCGUGCGGUUUAAUUGGAUUCAACGCCGUAAAACUCACCAGGGGCGACUGCCAUAUGAAGGCCAAGCUGAUGACUUUGCCUGAUUGGUAGAGAGGUGGUGCAUGGCCA
Molecule: ribosomal RNA, 950 nt
Filed under: uncultured archaeon
Lineage: Archaea
Description: bacterial SSU rRNA
Rfam family: Archaeal small subunit ribosomal RNA
Source: RNAcentral